AUGGCUCAGAUUGAACGCUGGCGGCAGGCCUAACACAUGCAAGUCGAGCGGUAGAGAGAAGCUUGCUUCUCUUGAGAGCGGCGGACGGGUGAGUAAUGCCUAGGAAUCUGCCUGGUAGUGGGGGAUAACGUUCGGAAACGGACGCUAAUACCGCAUACGUCCUACGGGAGAAAGCAGGGGACCUUCGGGCCUUGCGCUAUCAGAUGAGCCUAGGUCGGAUUAGCUAGUUGGUGAGGUAAUGGCUCACCAAGGCGACGAUCCGUAACUGGUCUGAGAGGAUGAUCAGUCACACUGGAACUGAGACACGGUCCAGACUCCUACGGGAGGCAGCAGUGGGGAAUAUUGGACAAUGGGCGAAAGCCUGAUCCAGCCAUGCCGCGUGUGUGAAGAAGGUCUUCGGAUUGUAAAGCACUUUAAGUUGGGAGGAAGGGCAGUUACCUAAUACGUGAUUGUUUUGACGUUACCGACAGAAUAAGCACCGGCUAACUCUGUGCCAGCAGCCGCGGUAAUACAGAGGGUGCAAGCGUUAAUCGGAAUUACUGGGCGUAAAGCGCGCGUAGGUGGUUAGUUAAGUUGGAUGUGAAAUCCCCGGGCUCAACCUGGGAACUGCAUUCAAAACUGACUGACUAGAGUAUGGUAGAGGGUGGUGGAAUUUCCUGUGUAGCGGUGAAAUGCGUAGAUAUAGGAAGGAACACCCAGUGGCGAAGGCGACCCCCCCUGGA
This 722-nucleotide ribosomal RNA is filed under the name Pseudomonas sp. Its description in RNAcentral is "bacterial SSU rRNA". It matches the Rfam family "Bacterial small subunit ribosomal RNA", at positions 19 to 733 of the family's 1533-position model. Lineage: Bacteria; Pseudomonadati; Pseudomonadota; Gammaproteobacteria; Pseudomonadales; Pseudomonadaceae. The record is from RNAcentral.